UGGCUGUCGUCAGCUCGUGCCGUGAGGUGUUGGGUUAAGUCCCGCAACGAGCGCAACCCCUAUCUUCAGUUGCCAGCACAUUAUGGUGGGGACUCUGGAGAGACUGCCUUCGCAAGAAGCGAGGAAGGCGGGGACGACGUCAAGUCAUCAUGGCCCUUACGCCUAGGGCUACACACGUGCUACAAUGGCGCAUACAGAGGGUAGCCAGCCAGCGAUGGUGAGCCAAUCCCAAAAAGUGCGUCUCAGUUCGGAUCGGAGUCUGCAACUCGACUCCGUGAAGCCGGAAUCGCUAGUAAUCGCGUAUCAGCAACGACGCGGUGAAUACGUUCCCGGGCCUUGUACACACCGCCCGUCAAGCCAUGGAAGUCAGGGAGACCUGAAGCCGGUGACCGUCAAAGGAGCCGUCUAGGGUAAAACUGGUAACUGGGGCUAAGUCGUAACAAGGUAGCCGUACCGGAAGGUGCGGCUGGAUCACCUCCUUUCUAGGGAAGACCGCCGGCCCGUACACUUACUCUCUUUAAUAUACUUACCGCCUGCCUCGGGCAUCGAUCAAAACCCAUAUUUAGUGACGCGGGCACAGCGGCCCGGAAAGCGGGCUUGUAGCUCAGGUGGUUAGAGCGCUACACUGAUAAUGUAGAGGUCCGUGGUUCGAGUCCACGCAGGCCCACUAACACGAAUGAGUGGAUAAGUGAAUGAGCGAGUGACUGGAUGCAUUGUUCAGUGAUUCAAGAUUCAGGCAUUCAGUCAUUGGAUUACCUGGGGGAUUAGCUCAGCUGGCUAGAGCGCCUGCUUUGCACGCAGGAGGUCAACGGUUCGACUCCGUUAUUCUCCACACUUAACACAACCAAGUCAGAACGGCAGGUUUUGACUUCACAUCUUGAAGAGCAUUCACAGCGCAGGUCUAAGGUCUUGUGUCUAGUGUCUGACGUCUUGAAGAGCAAGUUCUUUGACAUGAUGGGAGAGAGAGAAAGAAAAUAAUUGACUAGGCCGUAGCGAUACGGCCCUAGUGCGAGAAGAGGCGGGCCUGUCCAGCAAUGGACGGGCCGAAGACGCAGAGAAGGGCGCACGGUGGAUGCCUUGGCA
Molecule: small RNA, 1083 nt
Filed under: uncultured bacterium
Lineage: Bacteria
Description: bacterial SSU rRNA
Rfam family: Bacterial small subunit ribosomal RNA (bases 1-482)
Source: RNAcentral